Molecule: small RNA, 27 nt
Filed under: Bombyx mori (domestic silkworm)
Lineage: Eukaryota; Metazoa; Arthropoda; Insecta; Lepidoptera; Bombycidae
Description: ovarian small RNA-3714
Source: RNAcentral
UGAUUCAAAAUAUGAAGUGUGUCCUUA